RNAcentral lists this ribosomal RNA (467 nucleotides) under uncultured bacterium. RNAcentral describes it as "partial 16S ribosomal RNA". It matches the Rfam family "Bacterial small subunit ribosomal RNA", at positions 28 to 506 of the family's 1533-position model. The record is from RNAcentral.
GACGAACGCUGGCGGCGUGCUUAACACAUGCAAGUCGAACGGAAAGGCCCUGCUUUUGUGGGGUGCUCGAGUGGCGAACGGGUGAGUAACACGUGAGUAACCUGCCCUUGACUUUGGGAUAACUUCAGGAAACUGGGGCUAAUACCGGAUAGGAGCUCCUGCUGCAUGGUGGGGGUUGGAAAGUUUCGGCGGUUGGGGAUGGACUCGCGGCUUAUCAGCUUGUUGGUGGGGUAGUGGCUUACCAAGGCUUUGACGGGUAGCCGGCCUGAGAGGGUGACCGGCCACAUUGGGACUGAGAUACGGCCCAGACUCCUACGGGAGGCAGCAGUGGGGAAUAUUGCACAAUGGGCGGAAGCCUGAUGCAGCAACGCCGCGUGCGGGAUGACGGCCUUCGGGUUGUAAACCGCUUUCGCCUGUGACGAAGCGUGAGUGACGGUAAUGGGUAAAGAAGCACCGGCUAACUACGG